Molecule: ribosomal RNA, 305 nt
Filed under: uncultured bacterium
Lineage: Bacteria
Description: partial 16S ribosomal RNA
Rfam family: Bacterial small subunit ribosomal RNA
Source: RNAcentral
ACAGCAGCCGCCGCGGGAAUACAGAGGAUGCAAGCGUUAUCCGGAAUGAUUGGGCGUAAAGCGUCUGUAGGUGGCCUUUUAAGCGUAGGGUAUAAGGCAAUGGCUCGACCAUUGUUCUCCCUAUGAACUGGAAGGCUUGAGUGCAGGAGAGGAAAGCGGAAUUCCUAGUGUAGCGGUGGAAUGCAUAGAUAUUAGGAGGAACAUCAGCGGCGAAGGCGGCUUUCUGGACUGCAACUGACACUGAGGUACGAAAGCGUGGGGAGCAAACGGGAUUAGAUACCCGAGUAGUCCCUGUCUCUUAUACA